RNAcentral lists this ribosomal RNA (408 nucleotides) under uncultured sulfate-reducing bacterium. RNAcentral's name for it is "bacterial SSU rRNA". It matches the Rfam family "Bacterial small subunit ribosomal RNA", at positions 505 to 911 of the family's 1533-position model. The record is from RNAcentral.
GUGCCAGCAGCCGCGGUAAUACGGGGGGUGCAAGCGUUAUUCGGAAUUAUUGGGCGUAAAGGGUGCAUAGGCGGUUUUGUAAGUCAGAUGUGAAAUCCCGGGGCUUAACUUCGGAACUGCAUUUGAUACUGCAAGACUUGAGUAUGGGAGAGGAGAGCGGAAUUCCUGGUGUAGAGGUGAAAUUCGUAGAUAUCAGGAGGAACACCGGUGGCGAAGGCGGCUCUCUGGACCAAUACUGACGCUGAGGCACGAAGGCGUGGGGAGCAAACAGGAUUAGAUACCCUGGUAGUCCACGCAGUAAACGUUGAUCACUUGGUGUUGCGGGUAUUGACCCCUGCGGCGCCGUAGCUAACGCGUUAAGUGAUCCGCCUGGGGAGUACGGUCGCAAGAUUAAAACUCAAAGGAAUU